RNAcentral lists this ribosomal RNA (484 nucleotides) under uncultured bacterium. Its description in RNAcentral is "partial 16S ribosomal RNA". It matches the Rfam family "Bacterial small subunit ribosomal RNA", at positions 30 to 507 of the family's 1533-position model. The record is from RNAcentral.
AUUGAACGCUGGCGGCAGGCCUAACACAUGCAAGUCGAGCGGAUGAAGGGAGCUUGCUCCUGGAUUCAGCGGCGGACGGGUGAGUAAUGCCUAGGAAUCUGCCUGGUAGUGGGGGAUAACGUCCGGAAACGGGCGCUAAUACCGCAUACGUCCUGAGGGAGAAAGUGGGGGAUCUUCGGACCUCACGCUAUCAGAUGAGCCUAGGUCGGAUUAGCUAGUUGGUGGGGUAAAGGCCUACCAAGGCGACGAUCCGUAACUGGUCUGAGAGGAUGAUCAGUCACACUGGAACUGAGAAACGGUCCAGACUCCGACGGGAGGCAGCAGUGGGGAAUAUUGGACGAAGGGCGAAAGCCUGAUCCAGCCAUGCCGCGUGUGUGAAGAAGGUCUUCGGAUUGUAAAGCACUUUAAGUUGGGAGGAAGGGCAGUAAGUUAAUACCUUGCUGUUUUGACGUUACCAACAGAAUAAGCACCGGCUAACUUCGUG